UCGUAACAAGGUUUCCGUAGGUGAACCUGCGGAAGGAUCAUUACCGAGUGAGGGCCCUCUGGGUCCAACCUCCCACCCGUGUUUAUCGUACCUUGUUGCUUCGGCGGGCCCGCCGCAAGGCCGCCGGGGGGCAUCUGCCCUCUGGCCCGCGCCCGCCGAAGACACCAUUGAACGCUGUCUGAAGAUUGCAGUCUGAGCAAUUAGUUAAAUAACUUAAAACUUUCAACAACGGAUCUCUUGGUUCCGGCAUCGAUGAAGAACGCAGCGAAAUGCGAUACGUAAUGUGAAUUGCAGAAUUCAGUGAAUCAUCGAGUCUUUGAACGCACAUUGCGCCCCCUGGUAUUCCGGGGGGCAUGCCUGUCCGAGCGUCAUUGCUGCCCUCAAGCACGGCUUGUGUGUUGGGCUCCGUCCUCCUCCCGGGGGACGGGCCCGAAAGGCAGCGGCGGCACCGCGUCCGGUCCUCGAGCGUAUGGGGCUUCGUCACCCGCAUACUGUAGGCCCGGCCGGCGCUUGCCGACACAUCAAUCUUUUUUCCAGGUUGACCUCGGAUCAGGUAGGGAUACCCGCUGAACUUAAGCAUAUCAAUAAGCGGAGGAAAAGAAACCAACAGGGAUUGCCCCAGUAACGGCGAGUGAAGCGGCAAGAGCUCAAAUUUGAAAGCUGGCCCCCUCGGGGUCCGCAUU
RNAcentral lists this unclassified non-coding RNA (683 nucleotides) under Penicillium citreonigrum. Its description in RNAcentral is "sequence contains 18S rRNA gene, ITS1, 5.8S rRNA gene, ITS2, 28S rRNA gene". The stretch from base 218 to 371 matches the Rfam family "5.8S ribosomal RNA". Lineage: Eukaryota; Fungi; Ascomycota; Eurotiomycetes; Eurotiales; Aspergillaceae. The record is from RNAcentral.